CUUUGCUCUUAGGUUCUGGCUAGCUGAGGCAGAGAAGCUCCCUGGACUGUGGGUUUUUUUCCUUUUUCUUGGAAUUGUUUGAACCUGCUCUGGCCCGAAAACCCAAAAGAGCACUGGGAGGUCACACCUGUGGCACACCAGGCCUGGCCUGGGCUGCGGCAUUUCCCAGCACUGGAGGGUCUGAGAAUAGACUGAGUGAGCUGGGCUGCUUGAGUCCCCACAAAAGGGACUCUUCUGAAUUUGUCGUCUCUUCAGAGCAGCGAGUGGUUUUGCUGUUUAAUGUUGUUCAUUUUUGUGCUGGGAAGUGCUUUGCCUGUUAAAUAAACAGUUUUUUUCCACUUCUCUCUGAGGAAAUAUUUCCCUGAACCAGCUGGGGGAAGACUGCUUGAAUCUGUUUCCUAAAGGGACCCCAUUCAGAGAUUUUCUCCCUAAAUUUGCCCUAAACCAGGAGACCCCGCCAGAUUCCUGUCCUAAAGGAUACUCAGGAACAAUGAUCCAUAAGGAUUUCCUGAGGAGUGACUUCUUAGACCUUUGGUGACAACUCGUCUCCUCUGAUGGCUGCAGACUGUAAUGUUUCAUUGCAAGCACAGCUGGCUGUUUGGGGUGGCUUACACGCAGAGCUGCACCUGCUAGAAUAGAUGCUAAGAAGAGAGAUGUGUUCUGAGAGAUACAAAGGCAUUGUCUGACCCUUGAUGGAUUGCAUGGACAAAAUAGUUUGUUAAGACCACCCUGCAUGACCUCCUGCAUUGCCCAUCUGCUGGCUCCUGGCUGGGUGACAGAAAGCCUUUCAAGAUGCUACCAAACCUAUGGAAAUUACUCUCAUGGAAGCUGGGAGAAGCAGCUGUACUGCAGAGAUGCCAACCAUUAGUAGAAUAGAUCAAUUGUUUUAUGAGUUUAAUGCUAUUUAUCUUCUAAUUUAUUUACCAGAGAUGCAUGUAAUGCUCAAUGAAAGCCAGUGUGCUGAGAAAAGUCUUAAAAACACUGUUCUAUUUGCUAAUGUAUUUUUCUUAUUAAAAUUUUUGUUUGUUUGUUUUAGAAUAUUUAAAAAUUUAAAAAAAAGAAACAAGAAAGUGAGCCAGCCAGGUCUCAUCUUCUCGUUUCUAAUUACUUGCCCUACCUAGGACAAGGUCCCCAUUGCCCUGGAAGUAUGUGGUCCUUGCUCCAAAGGCUCACAUGCUGAGGGGUGAACGGACACUUUGUGUAACUGUGUCUGAAGUUCAGUCUGGUCUCCACAAAAGUGUGAGAAAGUUGCUGGCUUGGUACUUGCCUGCACAAGUACUGCAAUCUGCUCUGUGUUUAGUACAGGUAUUUGUAAUGGCUGGGACCUCACGGCAAGCACUGCCCACCUCUGUACCAAGUAGAAUUAAUUGCAGGAUAGAGGUCCACUGCAGAACAGAUAAGAGGGAUGUAGAAAAAUGACAGAGGCCAGACAGCAUUAGAUAAAUGGUGGUGAGAGAGCCUGCAUUAAUAGCAAUAAUGUAGCUGUGUUUCCUGAAAAGAGAGCACGAAAUUCCCUAGUGUGGACACACUUCUUGUUGGCCAAAACACAUUCUGAAUUCCUCAAUAAUCAGGCAGGAAAUGGUAAAAUCCAUCAGACAAAAUGAACAGUAUGUUAUUUUUUCCAACAUUAAAAAUAUAUUUUAGGUCAUAACUAUUACAGAAAAAAAAACUCGCAACAUUUUAUGGCCGAUCAGAUUUAUUUUUUCUGCCAUACAAUUUUUUUCAGUUAUGUACAGCAAGGGGAAUUUCUGUACACAAAGAUGUGCUUUAGGAGCUUUGUUUCCAUCCAGAUCAGUACUUUACCUAAUAGGUGCAUUACUCAAAAGUACUCACUGUUCUUUCAAAAAUUCUCUCAAAUAGAAAUUAUUUUUUAUCAGCUUCCCAGUCAAGCAACCAGACAGAAAAGUAGAAUUAUAAUACCCAUGAGUUUUGUGCUUUGCGUAAACAGCUGGAGACGGGUAAUUUCUGAUUUGUUUUUAUCAGUUUGUGUGAUUUUUGUCUAGUUUGCAUCAUGAGUGAAAUCAGUAUUGACUCUACCACAACAGAUCUACAGCCUUGUACCUACCUUGCCUUGGUUAGCUGUUCUUAGAGCCUCCUACAAGGAUUUCCUGUUGCCUCCAUUUUAGAGCAGUUCUGUCUUUUCUCCAUUGAGUGGAAAUUAGUAAGACCCAGCACACGCUGCUGCCUGAGUUCAGUCAGCAGAGUAACACAGUGAUUCCUUCCAGCUUCUUUGUUUGUAGAUCAAGAGGAAGGAGGAUGCCAACUUCAUAACUUCUCCCCAUUGUGCCCCAGAGGUUAGGCACCUUGCCAUAUACAGAUGCUAUCAAAAAUUGAAUAAUUUCAUAAAUAAACUGUGAAUUAACAACAGUCUAUGUAAAUGUAUGCUUUGGUUCAAGACUGAUGUAUUCCAUUCUUUGAGAACAUUCUCUAAAUAAACCGAAUGUUUUCAUUUUA
Molecule: long non-coding RNA, 2454 nt
Organism: Catharus ustulatus (Swainson's thrush)
Lineage: Eukaryota; Metazoa; Chordata; Aves; Passeriformes; Turdidae
Exons: 4
Source: RefSeq, a predicted model, not a curated record